GAAGGAAGCCCACACAGCCAGUUCCACCUCCUCUCUGCAGUAUCCUUGACUGCAGUUCGGUUUCUGUCUGUUUUGUCUGAAGGUGGAUAGAAAAUUGCACAAUUGGGCGUUUUGAAGGGCACUGCUGGACAGAUAGAAACCUGCAGAGCAUGGCACGCUGCCUGAGGUUCUUGUAUAAGCUGAAAAGAAGGAUACGAAUAAUCUCAUAAACAAACACAACUGAACGGCUAAACAUUCAAGCUGGCCACGGUGGUGUUGUAUUGGACUUCUGCUCAAAUUAAGAUUUCCAGAGACAGCUGCACAAAUACACACAAAUUCAAACGAACAGAGUAACAGGAAUAUAUUGACUCUGUUCUUCCAAACGACCUUUAGAUGUGAAUCCGAAAGGAUUGAAGAAAGCUGGAGCUCCUGAGGUAAGGAGAGGAGGAGAAUGACUUCAGCCGCUGCAAGCUAAAAGGACAAGAUUGAUUUCCAUUUGGUGGCAGAAUACUGGUAUUUUAUCUGUGGGAAACAGUAAACACAAGCAUGAGAUUUUUCUUAAGCUUUCAUGUGCUGUGUUGCUCCCACUCUGUGUCCAUUCCAAACAGCAUGGGGGUUUGCUUGAGUUGGAAAUGAGCAAGUGCCAGAGGGCCUGAGUGAAUACAGUCAGAAAGAUAACAGGGCAUCACUUUCAGAACUUUGCGUGAUGUGGAAACAAAUCAAUCCAUUCUGUGAAUCUAAUGAUGCUGCACAAAGGAUGCAUACAGCUGAGAUAGGAGUCAUUCAUACAGAGGCAUAUACAAAUCUACUUGCCAACUCACAGGUGGUGAGUGCUGCCAGCUUUCUGACAAGCAGGACACCCAACACCACACAGAUCUCCUUCCCAGAGGUCUCAUACCAUGUUUGAGAAAGUAAGAGAUGGCAGGAAUCCUUUCUGAGCAGUAGGCGAUGGAUCCCAUUGUUUCUUACCAUCUCCCUAUCCCAGUGCAAAGGACAGAAGACCCACUUAUCUCCUAAGACCUCUGCCUUUGUGCCAGAAAAGGAUCUGAGGGAAGAGAGGGGAUUGGUGGCAACCACAAAUAAUGGCUGGCUAGUGAGCUAAGUCUUAAUUUGUGGGUCCCUGCCAUACAUUUGAUAUUAUUAUCUUCUGGCCUUAAUAAAGGCUUAUAUCUUGCCACAAAAAGUAAUUAUACUACACGGGGUAUUAUGUAGACUGAGCACCAUCCAGUGAAGUUUGGACUUGCCUAGAUCCCAGUUAAUGGGCUAACUGACUUGAAGAGUGAAGGGAGACAUACAUUUCUGAAUGUAGCUUGAAAACAUAUUCUUUGCCCUGAAGACAAAUGGCUGUAGCUCCAUGCAAGCAUUCAACCUGUGUUUUUUAAAAAGGCACAUGUGGAAGGGAUAUGGAGGUCAUGUCUGAUGGUCUUCACACCCACAUGGUCAAGGUUCCUGCCUUUGCUCCAAGACACUAAUAUACAUAUUCAACACCAAUAUGCUCACCCUUCAUACCACCAAUAUGCUCACCCUUCAUAUCACCAAUAUUCUCACCAAUAUGCUCUUCCGGCACCAAUCCGGUGAAAGUGUCUGGGAGUAUGUUAACAGCCAGGAAACCCCUCACCAUGAAUCAAAGAGAAGAUUCAGUUGCUGAGUGCUGCAAAGAUGCACACAUUCUUCCCAGAAAAAUAUUUGUGGUGCCAAUGUGAAAACUCAGUGCAUUCUUCAAACAAGUCAGGACUCCUUAUUGAAACCAAUUGCUCUGGUAUGCUAGGCAAUUUUAUUUAUAGUGUCAUUAAACCAACAUAUGUAUUUGGGUUCAGAAGAGGAGUUGCAGCCAAACCUUAGGUGGCUGGAAAUGAAUGUCAUCUGAAGCAACACGUGGUGUCAUUACAGGCUUUUAACAGCCGUUUAAUGGUACCAGGGAUUUUGAUGUGCUGCACUUUGCAGAUAUGUAAAAUGAUGCCAGAUUAUGAGUGUCUCCUGACCCUUGCAUAUGACAACGCUGGAAUACUGUAACAUGUAUGUGGCAGCAGCAGCAGCCAAUGAAAGCCAAGCUAGAGUGAAUGUUUUGGCCGUGACGUUCUUAUCGGUUGGAUUGUACUGAUUCCAGCUUCAGAUGGCCUGCAUCAGAUCACGGCCACCUUUAAUUUUGCAGACUUCAGUAAGGUCAUUUAGUGGGCAUUAUAUCAAAGUAAAGAAGGAAAAUCAAAGUUGAAAUGCUUGAAGAAGGGUACCGGUCUGGAUGGAUACCAUAAACAUUCUCAAAAGCUUCAAGAGUUGUUUUCCUUUCUGAUAAAUAUCUGAUGCAAAUACG
Long non-coding RNA from Hemicordylus capensis (graceful crag lizard), 2290 nucleotides. RefSeq lists it as uncharacterized. The record is from RefSeq and is a predicted model, not a curated record. NCBI's taxonomy places the organism in Eukaryota, Metazoa, Chordata, Lepidosauria, Squamata, Cordylidae. The transcript has 5 exons.